Molecule: ribosomal RNA, 468 nt
Filed under: uncultured bacterium
Lineage: Bacteria
Description: partial 16S ribosomal RNA
Rfam family: Bacterial small subunit ribosomal RNA
Source: RNAcentral
GACGAACGCUGGCGGCGUGCUUAACACAUGCAAGUCGAACGAAGGAAGAGGAGCUUGCCUCUCUGGAUUAGUGGCGAACGGGUGAGUAACACGUGAGCAAAACGCCCCUAACUGCGGGAUAACAACGGGGAAAUGCGGCUAAUACCGGAGAUGAGAUGAACAGGCACCUGGAUCGGUGGGGAAGAAUGUCGGUCCGGGAUGGGCUCGCGGGCUACCAGCUUGUUGGGGAGGUUGCGACUCACAAAGGCUACGAAGGGAAGCCGGCCUGAGCGCGUGACCGGCCACCUUGGGCCUGCGACACGCCCCAGACUCCUACGUGACGCAGCAGUGGGGAAUCUUGCACAAUGGGCGCACGUCUGAUGCAGCAACGCCCCGUGCGUGAUGACCUCCUUCUAGUUGUAAACCUCUUUGAGCAGAGAAGAAGCGAUAGUGACGGUACCUGCUGAAAAAGCGCCGGCUAACUACGUG